This 553-nucleotide ribosomal RNA is filed under the name uncultured bacterium. RNAcentral describes it as "bacterial SSU rRNA". It matches the Rfam family "Bacterial small subunit ribosomal RNA", at positions 363 to 916 of the family's 1533-position model. The record is from RNAcentral.
AUUGGUCAAUGGGCGUAAGCCUGAACCAGCCAUCCCGCGUGAAGGAAGAAGGCGCUAUGCGUUGUAAACUUCUUUUCCAGGGGAAGAAAACCCCCGACGUGUCGGGGCUUGCCGGUACCUUGGGAAUAAGCAUCGGCUAACUCCGUGCCAGCAGCCGCGGUAAUACGGAGGAUGCGAGCGUUAUCCGGAUUCAUUGGGUUUAAAGGGUGCGUAGGCGGACUAAUAAGUCAGUGGUGAAAACCUGCAGCUUAACUGUAGACGUGCCAUUGAUACUGUCAGUCUUGAGUAUGGUCAAGGUAGGCGGAAUGUGUAAUGUAGCGGUGAAAUGCUUAGAUAUUACACAGAACACCGAUUGCGAAGGCAGCUUACUGGACCAUUACUGACGCUGAUGCACGAAAGCGUGGGGAGCGAACAGGAUUAGAUACCCUGGUAGUCCACGCCGUAAACGAUGAUCACUCGCUGUUGGCGAUACACAGUCAGCGGCUAAGCAAAAGCAUUAAGUGAUCCACCUGGGGAGUACGGCCGCAAGGCUGAAACUCAAAGGAAUUGACGG